UGGGGAAUAUUGGACAAUGGGCGCAAGCCUGAUCCAGCAAUGCCGCGUGGGUGAAGAAGGUCUUCGGAUUGUAAAGCCCUUUCGACAGGGACGAUGAUGACGGUACCUGUAGAAGAAGCCCCGGCUAACUUCGUGCCAGCAGCCGCGGUAAUACGAAGGGGGCUAGCGUUGCUCGGAAUUACUGGGCGUAAAGGGCGCGUAGGCGGCUUGCUUAGUCAGACGUGAAAAAUCCUGGGCUUAACCUGGGGACUGCGUUUGAUACGGGCAGGCUUGAGGAUGGAAGAGGCUCGUGGAAUUCCCAGUGUAGAGGUGAAAUUCGUAGAUAUUGGGAAGAACACCGGUGGCGAAGGCGGCGAGCUGGUCCAUUACUGACGCUGAGGCGCGACAGCGCGGGGGAGCAAACAGGAUUAGAUACCCUGGUAGUCCACGCCGUAAAACGAUGUGCGCUGGAUGUUGGGUGGCCUAGCCACUCAGUGUCGUAGCCAACGCGAUAAGCGCACCGCCUGGGGGAGUACGGCCGCAAGGUUGAAACUCAAAAUGAAUUGACGGGGUCAUAGCUGUUUCCU
This 566-nucleotide ribosomal RNA is filed under the name uncultured bacterium. RNAcentral describes it as "partial 16S ribosomal RNA". It matches the Rfam family "Bacterial small subunit ribosomal RNA", at positions 355 to 1375 of the family's 1533-position model. The record is from RNAcentral.